CAAACGCUGCUGGGUUCGUGAAGCAUAGAAUUUCCGGGGCUAAAUACUCCAAGGGAGCUGUCCCUGUCGGACUCUUGGGUUCGGUAUAUGGCGCCCACCUAGACCAACCAGGCCUAGGAAAACUGGUGCUUAACGGCCUACGCGGCGUCCCC
Molecule: non-coding RNA, 152 nt
Filed under: Rhodospirillales bacterium
Lineage: Bacteria; Pseudomonadati; Pseudomonadota; Alphaproteobacteria; Rhodospirillales
Description: 6S RNA
Rfam family: 6S / SsrS RNA
About the family: E. coli 6S RNA was the first non coding RNA to be sequenced, but its function was unknown until recently.
Source: RNAcentral